GAUUCUGGCUCAGGAUGAACGCUGGCGGCGUGCUUAAUACAUGCAAGUCGAACGAAGAUAUUUCGCUGAUGCGAUUCGUCAAAUCUUGAAAUAUCUUAGUGGCGGACGGGUGAGUAACGCGUGGGUAACCUGCCUUACACAGGGGGAUAACAGUUAGAAAUGACUGCUAAUACCGCAUAAGCGCACGGUAUCGCAUGAUACAGUGUGAAAAAGAUUUAUCGGUGUAAGAUGGACCCGCGUCUGAUUAGCUAGUUGGUGAGGUAACGGCCCACCAAGGCGACGAUCAGUAGCCGGCCUGAGAGGGUGAACGGCCACAUUGGGACUGAGACACGGCCCAAACUCCUACGGGAGGCAGCAGUAGGGAAUAUUGGACAAUGGGGGCAACCCUGAUCCAAGCGACGCCGCGUGAGUGAAGAAGUAUUUCGGUACGUAAAGCUCUAUCAGCAGGGAAGAAAAUGACGGUACCUGACUAAGAAGCACCGGCUAAAUACGUGCCAGCCGCUGC
This 505-nucleotide ribosomal RNA is filed under the name uncultured bacterium. Its description in RNAcentral is "bacterial SSU rRNA". It matches the Rfam family "Bacterial small subunit ribosomal RNA", at positions 15 to 518 of the family's 1533-position model. The record is from RNAcentral.